This 292-nucleotide small RNA is filed under the name Nannospalax galili (Upper Galilee mountains blind mole rat). RNAcentral's name for it is "7SK RNA (ENSNGAG00000007467.1)". The stretch from base 1 to 185 matches the Rfam family "7SK RNA". From Rfam's summary of the family: 7SK was discovered as an abundant small nuclear RNA in the mid-70s but a possible function has only recently been suggested. Two independent studies have found that 7SK RNA binds the CDK9/cyclin T complex (known as elongation factor P-TEFb). The record is from RNAcentral. Lineage: Eukaryota; Metazoa; Chordata; Mammalia; Rodentia; Spalacidae.
GGGUAUAAGGGCAGUCUGGAUACAACAUCUGAUCACCAGGGUUGAUUUGACUGAUCUGGCUGCCUGGGCAGUUUUCCUCUUCCUUGCUCUUUGCUCUAUGUGGAUCCUUCCUGAAGCUGUACCCUCACUUGAAGGGGGAUGAACUUCCUGGACAGAAGAGGACCAUUUAUUGGUUUAGAGAAGAGCUCAUUAAACUGCAGGCAAUACUCUAUAUGGGCUCACAUAACUGAAUAUGGAGGUUAUGAAAAAUUGGGUGACAGCAAAAGGUGUCUGAGUGUGCAAAAACUUAAUU